Molecule: ribosomal RNA, 296 nt
Filed under: uncultured Thermoplasmatales archaeon
Lineage: Archaea; Methanobacteriati; Thermoplasmatota; Thermoplasmata; Thermoplasmatales
Description: partial 16S ribosomal RNA
Source: RNAcentral
GAUGGGUGGCAAAUAGGGGCGAGGGUCUCGUUCGUUAUCUCACUUAAGAGAACGCCUCACGGUACGAACUGACGGCGGCCAUGCACCACCUCUCGGAAAAUCAGGCAAGGUCAUCAGCCUGGCCUUCAUGUAACCGUCGCUCCUGGUGAGUUUUCCGGCGUUGAAUCCAAUUAAACCGCACGCUCCUCCUGUUGCUGUGCUCUCCCGCCAAUUCCUUUAAGUUUCAGUCUUGCGACCGUACUCCCCAAGCAGCAGGCUUAACACCUUCGCUACGGCACUGAAACCCCUCGAAGGAG